UCCCAGACUUCAGCGCCUAACCGGGUCCACGCAGGAGUAGUGACGACGCCUACAUCUCCCUCCCGCACCUAAGGACCCAGAGAGGCCGACUCCAUCACCGAGGAAGCCUUGACCUCCCCCUCCCCCUCCGGUCCCACUACUGAGAGCUUCCCAGGCCCAAGCCUGCCGUGCCCCGCGGCCGUGUGCUCCACGCCAUAUGCCACCAGGGCUUCGGCGUCCAGCCACUGCUUCCCCUUACUCCUGCCACAAAGCCUGCGGCCAACUCCGAAAGCUCGGGACCUUGAAAGGAUGCUGAACAUUCCUCAUCAGAAACCUGAGGAGGACACUGAAAAGACAGCCACAAUUUUCCUUCUGCUUGCUGCCAAGUUUCUUGAGGGCUCAGCUGUUGGGAACUUGACUGCUAUCUUGGAGCAAGUGGAGUUCUCAGCCUCAAACUUGGGCAUUUGACCAACUUACUCAUCAACCUCAGGCAACAUUAGAACACGGCAACCUCCCCCACAUGCAGAAAGAUGCCUUUCUGUGGGUAUUCCUGAAGAAAAGGAAAGGAAGCAAGAGCUAGGCCAUGCAUGACUUCUUCUCCUAAACUCACCAACCAGGGACCAAAUGUCAAACCAACGGUGGGAAUAUGAGUCUGCCUUGUUUAGAAAGGAAUCUUGACCCAGAGGCCUUCCUGCAAUCGAUAAGGUGUACUUGGCAAAAAGAGUUCCGGGGUUCCCCUGGGUAGAGAGGCUGAAGGGAAUCAUAGGUGGCUCAUUUGAGAAGAGGACCGCCUGAGACAAAGGAGUUCCAGAUGGAAGAGUCCAGCAGGGGAGCAUCUGAGGAGGGUAUGGAUGCUCCCAUGAGAGAAACCUCCAUUAAGGGAAACUACACCAGCUUAUACCUGCCAGUCAAAUAAGGCCCUCCCUCUUCUUACCAUUCGGUUCCUCUACUCCCAUCCUGGAGGGUCCAUUAGAAGUCAAGUGGUGGAGGAACAGAGCAGGGGGUCAGGGAGAAGUAGCAUUAACAGGGAAAUAGAGAUGAACAGCACAUUCCCCACUGCAGGCUCUUGGGCGAUGAAGUGACCAGAGGACAUUUUGUUAUCUGAGAUGAUCACAGUCAGAAGACCUUCCUAAUGUUUCAUCUGAAGGACGGAGAAGAGUAGGUGCAAAAGAGAGGCUUCAAAUGGGCAUUUGAGGGUGAAGAAUAAAAUUGUUUCUCUUUGCAGCCUGUGAGUCCAGUUUGCUCAGUGAGACCUUUCAAUUUAUAUCACUGAAGUAAUCUCAGAGGCCAUGGCAGUAUAACACUUCUGGUGGACGUACUGUCUUAUUCUUUGCAAAGUUAUGCUUUGCACUUAUGCUUCUCUGUCUUCCUUGAUCCCUGAACUUCACACCUGCCCCUUAUUCUCAGAUGAUCUUGCCUUACUCUGUGCAGAGAAGAGAGAAUCCGUCAGGUGGGAGGAAAUUCUCUCCAUUUCUUCUGCAUCACUAAAUGGAGCUAAACUGCAGUUAGAGUGUUAAUUGUUAACUGACACAUAUAUUGUAAAUAUAUAAAGGAUGGUUCCACUAUUUAACAAUAGUGUAUUCUCUUAAGCAGAUGGACUGUUUCCUCCAUAAUCUUACUCUCAAUAUCAACUUGCCUAUCUUCUCAUUUUCGUAUAAUGUAAAAAUAAACUUUUAGCUCAAUUUGAAAUUUGAAAACUUUUUCCAUUUAUAUUAAAAUACGCGAGAAGAUCUAAAAGUCAAGUUUUAAUUUAUUUGUAUUGCAUUCUGCAAAAUAUGUCCACAAGAUUACCAUUUGUAUGGUAAGUAUUUUGCAAUAUUUGAAAUAGGGCAUUUCAUGCCUUUGCCUUCACCCUCAGAGAGCUUUUCCAGUCUCAAUUCUCUUAUU
Molecule: long non-coding RNA, 1866 nt
Organism: Mustela erminea (ermine)
Lineage: Eukaryota; Metazoa; Chordata; Mammalia; Carnivora; Mustelidae
Exons: 4
Source: RefSeq, a predicted model, not a curated record